This 404-nucleotide ribosomal RNA is filed under the name Brucella melitensis. RNAcentral's name for it is "partial 16S ribosomal RNA". It matches the Rfam family "Bacterial small subunit ribosomal RNA", at positions 355 to 776 of the family's 1533-position model. The record is from RNAcentral. Lineage: Bacteria; Pseudomonadati; Pseudomonadota; Alphaproteobacteria; Hyphomicrobiales; Brucellaceae. RNAcentral also lists the same sequence under 2 other names.
UGGGGAAUAUUGGACAAUGGGCGCAAGCCUGAUCCAGCCAUGCCGCGUGAGUGAUGAAGGCCCUAGGGUUGUAAAGCUCUUUCACCGGUGAAGAUAAUGACGGUAACCGGAGAAGAAGCCCCGGCUAACUUCGUGCCAGCAGCCGCGGUAAUACGAAGGGGGCUAGCGUUGUUCGGAUUUACUGGGCGUAAAGCGCACGUAGGCGGACUUUUAAGUCAGGGGUGAAAUCCCGGGGCUCAACCCCGGAACUGCCGUUGAUACUGGAAGUCUUGAGUAUGGUAGAGGUGAGUGGAAUUCCGAGUGUAGAGGUGAAAUUCGUAGAUAUUCGGAGGAACACCAGUGGCGAAGGCGGCUCACUGGACCAUUACUGACGCUGAGGUGCGAAAGCGUGGGGAGCAAACAGG